GACGAACGCUGGCGGCGUGCUUAACACAUGCAAGUCGAACGGAAAGGCCCUGCUUUUGUGGGGUGCUCGAGUGGCGAACGGGUGAGUAACACGUGAGUAACCUGCCCUUGACUUUGGGAUAACUUCAGGAAACUGGGGCUAAUACCGGAUAGGAGCUCCUGCUGCAUGGUGGGGGUUGGAAAGUUUCGGCGGUUGGGGAUGGACUCGCGGCUUAUCAGCUUGUUGGUGGGGUAGUGGCUUACCAAGGCUUUGACGGGUAGCCGGCCUGAGAGGGUGACCGGCCACAUUGGGACUGAGAUACGGCCCAGACGCCUACGGGAGGCAGAAGUGGGGAAUAUUGCACAAUGGGCGGAAGCCUGAUGCAGCAACGCCGCGUGCGGGAUGACGGCCUUCGGGUUGUAAACCGCUUUCGCCUGAGACGAAGCGUGAGUGACGGUAAUGGGUAAAGAAGCACCGGCUAACUACGUG
RNAcentral lists this ribosomal RNA (468 nucleotides) under uncultured bacterium. RNAcentral's name for it is "partial 16S ribosomal RNA". It matches the Rfam family "Bacterial small subunit ribosomal RNA", at positions 28 to 507 of the family's 1533-position model. The record is from RNAcentral.